This 428-nucleotide ribosomal RNA is filed under the name uncultured bacterium. Its description in RNAcentral is "bacterial SSU rRNA". It matches the Rfam family "Bacterial small subunit ribosomal RNA", at positions 355 to 775 of the family's 1533-position model. The record is from RNAcentral.
UGGGGAAUAUUGGACAAUGGGGGCAACCCUGAUCCAGCAAUGCCGCGUGUGUGAAGAAGGCCUUCGGGUUGUAAAGCACUUUCAGUUGGGAAGAGUGUUGGUAGGUUAAGAGCUAACUAACAGGACAUUACUGACAGAAGAAGCACCGGCUAACUCUGUGCCAGCAGCCGCGGUAAUACAGAGGGUGCAAGCGUUAAUCGGAAUUACUGGGCGUAAAGAGUGCGCAGGUUGUAAAUUAAGUGUUAUGUGAAAUACCUGGGCUUAACCUAGGAAUUGCAUAAUAGACUGGAAUACUAGAGUCUUGUAGAGGAUAGCGGAACUCCCGGUGUAGCGGUGAAAUGCGUAGAUAUCGGGAAGAACAUCAGUUGCGAAGGCGGCUAUCUGGACAUAGACUGACACUGAGGCACGAAAGCGUGGGGAGCAAACAG